RNAcentral lists this ribosomal RNA (433 nucleotides) under uncultured bacterium. RNAcentral describes it as "partial 16S ribosomal RNA". It matches the Rfam family "Bacterial small subunit ribosomal RNA", at positions 29 to 507 of the family's 1533-position model. The record is from RNAcentral.
AACGAACGCUGGCGGCAUGCCUAACACAUGCAAGUCGAACGAAGGCUUCGGCCUUAGUGGCGCACGGGUGCGUAACGCGUGGGAAUCUGCCCUUUGGUUCGGAAUAACAGCUGGAAACGGCUGCUAAUACCGGAUGAUGACGAAAGUCCAAAGAUUUAUCGCCAGAGGAUGAGCCCGCGUUGGAUUAGGUAGUUGGUGGGGUAAAGGCCUACCAAGCCGACGAUCCAUAGCUGGUCUGAGAGGAUGAUCAGCCACACUGGGACUGAGACACGGCCCAGACUCCUACGGGAGGCAGCAGUGGGGAAUAUUGGACACUGGGCGCAAGCCUGAUCCAGCAAUGCCGCGUGAGUGAUGAAGGCCCUAGGGUUGUAAAGCUCUUUUACCCGGGAAGAUAAUGACUGUACCGGGAGAAUAAGCCCCGGCUAACUCCGUG